This is a long non-coding RNA of Daphnia magna, 772 nucleotides long. RefSeq lists it as uncharacterized. The record is from RefSeq and is a predicted model, not a curated record. Lineage: Eukaryota; Metazoa; Arthropoda; Branchiopoda; Diplostraca; Daphniidae. The transcript has 3 exons.
AGUUCCACAACGCCGUUCGGCCAGCCUUCUCCGUCUGUCUUCCCACCGUUGCCUCAGUUCGCUCUCUUUGCUUUCAUCCAGGCCGAAGAAUGUCGCCGCACUUUGCUUGAAAUACCUACGACACAAACAUGGACGAUUAUAAAAGAACGCAGAUUGUAUACCAUACGCUCCCUGGCGAUGAAAAGAGAAAACCAACAACCACCCCAAACACAUGCUAUCGACGAGAAUGAAGGGUGAAAAGAGAGAGACGGAAUAAAUGGCGAGAGAAAAGAAGACAAGGUUCGAUCGAAGAGCCAGUCGGAUCGAUAAAAGAAGCCGUCAACGGACAAAAAUAAAGAAGGAAAGAAAAAGAAGAAGUUGGGCUUCCACAAACAGUAUGGGCCAAACGGAACGUUGGCCUCGCAUACCGCACAACGCACCCAUCCAAAGUCCGUACUUCAAUUACUCAACGAACGCUGAGUUUUACAACAACAACAACGACAUCAUAAAUGCGUUUUCCUAUAUUUUCUUUUCUUUCUCGCCACUACAUUAUUUCCGUAGUUGCCACUCUAAACUGCGGGUCCCCUCUAAAGAUUCCUGAUAAAAAGGUGCUUCGUCUUUCACGUUCAACUUGUCUUUUGGGUACACGCAGCCAAAGAGAGUUGGGGACGACCGUCGCACGUCAAGACUUGGAACUUCCGAUGUCGUACAAUUUUCCAGAGGGGAUUGAGAGGAUAAAGUCACAAGAAUAGGAGUUUUGGCCGUGGAUGUGGAAGAAAGAAAACUUACUCUU